CGAACGGGUGAGUAAUACAUCGGAACGUGUCCGCUCGUGGGGGACAACCAGCCGAAAGGUUGGCUAAUACCGCAUGAGUUCUACGGAAGAAAGAGGGGGACCCGCAAGGGCCUCUCGCGAGCGGAGCGGCCGAUGACUGAUUAGCCAGUUGGUGAGGUAACGGCUCACCAAAGCAACGAUCAGUAGCUGGUCUGAGAGGACGACCAGCCACACUGGGACUGAGACACGGCCCAGACUCCUACGGAAGGCAGCAG
RNAcentral lists this ribosomal RNA (254 nucleotides) under uncultured bacterium. RNAcentral's name for it is "partial 16S ribosomal RNA". It matches the Rfam family "Bacterial small subunit ribosomal RNA", at positions 99 to 354 of the family's 1533-position model. The record is from RNAcentral.